GCCCGAAUGGUGUAAUAGGCAAUCGCGCCGCAUUCAAACUGCGGAAAAUGGGGGUUCGAAUCCCUCUUCGGGCA
Molecule: transfer RNA, 74 nt
Filed under: Bacteroidota bacterium
Lineage: Bacteria; Pseudomonadati; Bacteroidota
Description: Bacteroidetes bacterium (activated sludge metagenome) tRNA-Leu
Rfam family: tRNA
About the family: Transfer RNA (tRNA) molecules are approximately 80 nucleotides in length. Their secondary structure includes four short double-helical elements and three loops (D, anti-codon, and T loops).
Source: RNAcentral